GACGUAGGGCGCGAGCGUUGUCCGGAAUUAUUGGGCGUAAAGAGCUCGUAGGCGGUUUGUCGCGUCUGCUGUGAAAACUCAGGGCUUAACCCUGAGCCUGCAGUGGGUACGGGCAGACUAGAGGCAUGCAGGGGAGAACGGAAUUCCUGGUGUAGCGGUGAAAUGCGCAGAUAUCAGGAGGAACACCGGUGGCGAAGGCGGCGACCUGGUCCGAUACUGACGCUGAGGCGCGAAAGCGUGGGAGCAAACA
Molecule: ribosomal RNA, 250 nt
Filed under: uncultured bacterium
Lineage: Bacteria
Description: partial 16S ribosomal RNA
Rfam family: Bacterial small subunit ribosomal RNA
Source: RNAcentral